RNAcentral lists this ribosomal RNA (353 nucleotides) under uncultured Racocetraceae. Its description in RNAcentral is "SSU rRNA". It matches the Rfam family "Eukaryotic small subunit ribosomal RNA", at positions 569 to 929 of the family's 1831-position model. Lineage: Eukaryota; Fungi; Glomeromycota; Glomeromycetes; Diversisporales; Gigasporaceae. The record is from RNAcentral.
AGCAGCCGCGGUAAUUCCAGCUCCAAUAGCGUAUAUUAAAGUUGUUGCAGUUAAAAAGCUCGUAGUUGAAUUUCGGGGUUCUACCGUUGGUCGGGCUUUGUCUGUACUGGCGUGUAGAAUUUCUACCUUCUGGGGAACCAUUAUGUUAUUAAUUUAGCGUAGUGGGAAACCAGGACCUUUACCUUGAAAAAAUUAGAGUGUUCUAAGCAGGCUUAUGUCUGAAUACAUUAGCAUGGAAUAAUAAAAUAGGACGGUGGUCCUGUUUUGUUGGUUUCUAGGACCGCCGUAAUGAUUAAUAGGGAUAGUCGGGGGCGUCAGUAUUCAGCUGUCAGAGGUGAAAUUCUUGGAUUUGG